This 467-nucleotide ribosomal RNA is filed under the name uncultured Acidobacteriota bacterium. RNAcentral describes it as "bacterial SSU rRNA". It matches the Rfam family "Bacterial small subunit ribosomal RNA", at positions 8 to 469 of the family's 1533-position model. Lineage: Bacteria; Pseudomonadati; Acidobacteriota. The record is from RNAcentral.
AGAGUUUGAUCAUGGCUCAGAAUCAACGCUGGCGGCGUGCCUAACACAUGCAAGUCGAACGCGAAAGCCCCGCAAGGGGUUAGUAGAGUGGCAAACGGGUGAGUGACACGCGGGUGACCUGCCUUCGAGUGGGGGAUAACGUCCCGAACGGGACGCUAAUACCGCAUAACAUCCUGCCUUUGAAGAGGUGGAGAUCAAAGCUGGGGACCGCAAGGCCUGGCGCUCAAAGAGGGGCCCGCGUCUGAUUAGCUAGUUGGUGAGGUAAUGGCUCACCAAGGCAACGAUCAGUAUCCGGCCUGAGAGGGCGGACGGACACACUGGGACUGAGGCACGGCCCAGACUCCUACGGGAGGCAGCAGUGGGGAAUUGUUCGCAAUGGGCGCAAGCCUGACGACGCAACGCCGCGUGGAGGGUGAAGACCUUCGGGUCGUAAACUCCUUUCGAUCGAGACGAAUGGCCCUUGGGUU